UUUCCCUACCCAUAAAGAAAUCAGACAGAGGGAUGUGGGACUGUCACCUGCUCCAGAUUCCUAAGGAAGUUCCCCUUCCUUAAAGCCAUCCUAAGCCCCUGUGCCUCAGCAGACAGGCACCUUCUCAGCCAAGGACCCAGGACCCUCUUCCCCACCAGGCACCUUCUCAGCCAGGGACCCAGGACCCUCUUCCCCACCAGGCACCUUCUCAGCCAGGGACCCAGGACCCUCUUCCCCGGACCCUCUUCUGACCGAGGUUUCUUCAUUACAGGAUCAG
This 277-nucleotide long non-coding RNA is filed under the name Pan troglodytes (chimpanzee). Its description in RNAcentral is "long non-coding RNA NONPTRT007612". The record is from RNAcentral. Lineage: Eukaryota; Metazoa; Chordata; Mammalia; Primates; Hominidae.